GGCUGAAACUCGCCUCCAUGAAGUUGGAUUCGCUAGUAAUCGCGCAUCAGCCAUGGCGCGGUGAAUACGUUCCCGGGCCUUGUACACACCGCCCGUCAAGCCAUGGGAGUUGGGGGUGCCUGAAGUACGUGACCGCAAGGAGCGUCCUAGGGCAAAACCGAUGACUGGGGCUAAGUCGUAACAAGGUACC
RNAcentral lists this ribosomal RNA (190 nucleotides) under uncultured bacterium. RNAcentral's name for it is "partial 16S ribosomal RNA". It matches the Rfam family "Bacterial small subunit ribosomal RNA", at positions 1303 to 1500 of the family's 1533-position model. The record is from RNAcentral.